AACCCUUUAUUGAUUAGUUGCUAACAUUAAGUUGAGGACUCUAUUGAGACUGCCAGUGAUAACUGGAGAAGGUGGGGAUGACGUCAAAUCAUCAUGCCCUUUAUGACCUGGGCUACAAACGUACUACAAUGGCCAAUACAAAGAGAUGCGAAGCGGUGACGUGGAGCGAACCUCAUAAAAAUGGUCUCAGUUCAGAUUGAAGUCUGCAACUCGACUUCAUGAAGGCGGAAUCGCUAGUAAUCGCGGGUCAGCAUACCGCGGUGAAUACGUUCCCGGGUUUU
Molecule: ribosomal RNA, 281 nt
Filed under: uncultured Mollicutes bacterium
Lineage: Bacteria; Bacillati; Mycoplasmatota; Mollicutes
Description: partial 16S ribosomal RNA
Rfam family: Bacterial small subunit ribosomal RNA
Source: RNAcentral